UAGGUCGGAUUAGCUAGUUGGUGAGGUAAUGGCUCACCAAGGCGACGAUCCGUAACUGGUCUGAGAGGAUGAUCCAGUCACACUGGAACUGAGACACGGUCCAGACUCCUACGGGAGGCAGCAGUGGGGAAUAUUGGACAAUGGGCGAAAGCCUGAUCCAGCCAUGCCGCGUGUGUGAAGAAGGUCUUCGGAUUGUAAAGCACUUUAAGUUGGGAGGAAGGGCAGUUACCUAAUACGGAUUGUUUGACGUACCGA
RNAcentral lists this ribosomal RNA (255 nucleotides) under uncultured bacterium. RNAcentral describes it as "partial 16S ribosomal RNA". It matches the Rfam family "Bacterial small subunit ribosomal RNA", at positions 232 to 481 of the family's 1533-position model. The record is from RNAcentral.